RNAcentral lists this unclassified non-coding RNA (373 nucleotides) under uncultured fungus. Its description in RNAcentral is "partial contains 5.8S ribosomal RNA and internal transcribed spacer 2". The stretch from base 1 to 133 matches the Rfam family "5.8S ribosomal RNA", at positions 22 to 154 of the family's 154-position model. The record is from RNAcentral. Lineage: Eukaryota; Fungi.
UGGCUCUCGCAUCGAUGAAGAACGCAGCAAAAUGCGAUAAGUAAUGUGAAUUGCAGAAUUCAGUGAAUCAUCGAAUCUUUGAACGCACCUUGCACUCCUUGGUAUUCCGAGGAGUAUGCCUGUUUGAGUGUCAUGAAAUUAUCAAUUUCAUAGUUUUGUAAACUAAACUAUUGCUAUGAAGUUUGGACUUGGAGGUUGCUGGCUCUUUUAGUAGUCGGCUCUUCUGAAAUGUAUUAGCUGCUUGUCUGUAAGUUGGCUCAGAGUGUGAUAAGUAUCUACACUUGGUGGCUGCUUACUUGGACGUGGCUCCUAAUAGUCCUUCUGGACACUUUUUUUAAGAUCUGACCUCAAAUCAGGUAGGACUACCCGCUGA